AGCAUUUGAAGGCACCUUGUGUGAUGCCAAAAUUAUUGCUAAUAGAAUUGAACAUCUUUAAUCUAAAAUUUCAGUUGCUUGAGAUCUAGCAAAAGAGAAGUUGAUAUCACUGUUGUGUAGGAUUCCAUGAAUUUAACAUUCAGUGUUUUCACUGAAGAACAAUAUAGAUAUACACUCUGGUUAAUUAAACUAAGCCUUACUUAAAAGGCUAUAAUGUUAUGCUGUUUUAUUUUUGUGUAACUAACUAACAAUUUCCUUGAAGUGGAUGUGGCCAUUCAAUUUCUCCUCCAAAACAGUACAUAUCUACUCAACCUGUUUCAAAAAGAAUUCAUCCACUGAAUCAUUUGGAAAAUUUGGAUCUUGCAACAUACAAUGGAAAUGCGUAUGAAAUAAUGUGAUUAAUCUCAUAGCAAAUUUCUCCGAGAAACACAGACAAGGGUCAUAUAUUUGCACAUACCAAACAUAUUGAUGUUAAAUGUAUGUGAUCCAUGUCUAGUCCUCCAAUAUUGCUUGCUGCUCAAGCUCAUUUAAAUGUUCAGUCACAGGGAUUGUUGUGCCAUUUGCAACAAAGUUUUCACUUCUACACUGUAGCAACUGUUCUCGAAGACUUCGGACAAGCUCAUUAAGUUUAUGAAUAUUCUUUUCUUGUGAAAGGAUGAUCUGCAGCAAAGUUGAAAGUGCAUAGAAUUAACAGUAGCCACAAAAUAAAUAUCAUAAUUCUUGACUAACUCUUACGCAACCUUGCAAGUCAAGCAAUCAAGUCAGACUUCAAAAAGAAACAUGGCAUUCAAAUGAUGUUCAAAACUAUGUUAUUUUAAAAUAACUUUUCAAAAAAGAAAAAAACAAAAGACGUUUGUGAAAGCAUGCAGAUAACAAAGUAUAGAUAAUGCGAAGUGCUAUUGCGAGCGAUAAAAUUAGGGGUGGCAAUUUUGGACACGAUCCGCGAACACGACACGAAAAUAUAGGGUUUGGGUUAGGCUUAUUCGUGUUCGUGUCGGUGUCGUGUCAACCCAUUUAGGACACGAUUAUAAUCGUGUCGUGUCGUGCCACGGGUUAACCCACUAACUCAACUUGACACGUUUACGACACGAUUUAAUAUUCGUGUCAUAUAUUGACUCGUGAUUCACUAAAACAUUUGACCCACUAUGACCCAUUAACCCGGUUUGAGCACAUACUGUGUGAGAAACCCAACAGACAGUGGUAAAGCUCUGCAACAGAUGGAAAAUGAGCAUAAUAGAAAUGCUAUAAUAGCUAUAACAAUCAGGACUUGAAAAAAAAAAAAAAGACUGAAAUGCCAAGUUAUGGUAUUGUACCUUUUAAAUGCAAGACUAAAAUCAUUAAUAGAAAGUUUAAUUCCAAUUGACAACAUGAUCCCACUGCUGGGGCGUAUAGCUCCUUAGAUACCCAAGUGAAAGUAGAUGGCUGAGCAAGAGCAGCAAUAGCAGUUGCAGCAACCACAAAAGGAAGCAUUGCUGAAAGAACCUGAGAAGCAUCGGUCUUUGAUACCUCAGCAUCAGGAUUAAUCCCAAAAUACAAAAGAGAAACGUUGCCUUCUCUUCUCUGCAACCCAACUCUUCCUAUAAACGGAGACGUCGAGCAAGCGAAUGUAAGCAAUCCCCCUUUGUUGCAGGCCCUUGGUCCUUCCCGCUUCGAAACUAAACAACAAGUGAACGAACAACGUAAAGAAACAGAGUUUGGUAAUUUUGUGUAGAUGGAGAGUUUUGGCACCGUUGUCACGGGGAGUGUGGGAGAUAUAGAGGUGAUUGAGGCCAUUUAAAUUUCUCAAGAAAACAGAGAUGAAAUGUAAUUGUGAUCUUUGGUGGUUUCAGGUUUUUCUAGUGGUUAAAGGGAGUGGCGUGGACGCCGGAGAGUGGCGGAUUCCGGCGACGUAUUACAGGAGGGAAAGAGAGGCAGUCGAGUACGGGGAAGAGAUGAGGGGAUAAAAU
This 1946-nucleotide unclassified non-coding RNA is filed under the name Hevea brasiliensis (rubber tree). Lineage: Eukaryota; Viridiplantae; Streptophyta; Magnoliopsida; Malpighiales; Euphorbiaceae. The record is from RNAcentral.